Molecule: ribosomal RNA, 502 nt
Filed under: uncultured bacterium
Lineage: Bacteria
Description: partial 16S ribosomal RNA
Rfam family: Bacterial small subunit ribosomal RNA
Source: RNAcentral
AGCGAACGCUGGCGGCGUGCCUAACACAUGCAAGUCGAACGUGAAAGGGAGCAAUCCCAAGUAAAGUGGCGUACGGGUGAGUAACACGUAGGUAAUCUACCCCAGAAUCUGGAAUAACCGGCCGAAAGGCUGGCUAAUACUGGAUAGAGCGACGGAAUCCGUAAUUGGGUUUUUCGGGAAAGGGAGCCUGUAAAAAGGCCUUCGUUCUGGGAUGAGCCUGCGUCCCAUCAGCUAGUUGGUGAGGUAAAAGCUUACCAAGGCAAUGACGGGUAGCUGGUCUGAGGGGACGGUCCGGCAAACUGGAACUGAAACACCGUCCAGGCUCCUACGGGGAGGAGCAGUGGGGGAACUUGCGCAAUUGGCGGAAGUCUGACGCAGCAACGCCGCGGGGGGGGAGAAAGCCUUCGGGUUGUAAAGCUCUGUCGAGUGGGGAGAAAAUGCUUGGAGUUCACAGCUCCAGGAACUGACGGUACCACUAAAGGAAGCACCGGCUAACUCCGUG